CGCGGGGCGCCAGCUUCUGGUAUUUUCGACACGUCUGCCGCGACCCCGUUCAGUUCGCUUUUGUACGUUGGACGUCGGAGGUGGAGGUUGUGAGUCCGCCGUUCAGGAGAAGCAGCGAAAAGCCUCUCUCCGUCCUUAACUGGAGAAGGAAGGCGUCCGCUGGGCCUUUCUCUCCUUGAGUGAGGCGUCGACGGCCCGUGGAACUGAGUUCUCGGGCAGGGGUCGUCAGAGCAAAGGAAGCUCGGAAGCUGCCGUCCGAGAUGUCCAGCUACGUGAACGACCUGUGGCCGGGCUCGCCGCACAAGGCCUCCCCAUCGUCGUCGCGGUCGGGCCCGUCCAGCCGGCUGUCCUCGGCGUCCGGGAGCCGCUCUCCCCCGAGCUCUCCGUCCCGAUCCAUCGUCUCGACUCGGUCGUGGUCGCGGAGCCGCAGCCGCAGCCCGCCCCGGCGGAGGAGCAGGUCGAGGUGUCGCUCCCGAAGGCGCCACCGGAGGAGGUACCGGCGCUACUCGCGCUCGUACUCGCGGAGCCGCUCGUACUCGCGGAGCCGCUCGCGCCCCCGCAGCCGCCGGUACCGGGAGAGGCACCACGGCUCCUCCAGGAGGUCCUACCGGUCCCUCAGCCGCCCCCGCUCCCGAGGCCGCUCGCCUUACCGGAGGGCCUACGCCUUCGCGCGGGACCGCCCGUACUACGGCUUCGGCCGCACCGUCUACCCGGAGGAGCGCAGAGGCUGGAGGGGGCGAUCCCGGACCAGGUCGCGCAGCCCAACCCCAUUUCGUCUGAGUGAGAAGGAUCGAAUGGAGCUGUUAGAAAUAGCAAAAGCCAAUGCCGCAAAAGCAUUAGGAACAGCCAACUUUGACUUGCCAGCCAGUCUCAGAACUGUUUCUGUAUCUAAAGAAACCAACCGUGGAACAGCUGUACUGAAUAAUGGUGCAAAGUCUGAGAAAUCAUGAAUGUGGUCUCCAGACAUUGAUGAAGAAAAUCUGUUGGUAAUUGAUACAUGUGCAAAAGCAUCAGAGGUUUAACUAAUUUGAAGUUUAUGUUGACACACUGAAAGCUUAGUUUUUUGUUGGUAGAUCCCUAUGCAUGCUAGAAUUUGGGACAGGUACUAAACUAAACAAAAGUGUACUUUGUAAUGGUGGGGCAUCUGAUAUAGAUGUCCCUUUCAUAAUAUAUGCAAUAUAUUCCAGAUGUUUUGAGAGAUUACAGAAGAAGAGGCCUGCUUCACUUGCAGAUAAGUUUAUUACAAUUCUCCAGAAAUGUGCAGCAUAAAAUUCAUAGCUUAAAGGUUUAAGGUAGUUAGGAAUUGAUAACACUCAGUUAACAUAGGAAAGAUGGGUUAUCUCCUGUCAUUCAUAUCCAGAUGUGGGUUUGCCUAAGUAUUAGUGGUGGACAAAAAAGAUCUUAGUUCAGUCGCUUUUUCAGACGGUUAGGUUCCCAACUGGAUGGGCAAAUGCCUUAGUUCUUUGAAACUAGGUGUUUUCUGGUAUGACUUGACUUUCAAAGUUACUUGAAUUUGCAUCGGGGGAUACAAUACUCCUUUAUGGGGAAGAGUGUCUUAAGCCUAUCAUUGAAUCAGUUUUGUUAUGGGGAAAACUCAACAGAGUACUAUGUUAUUUAUUUUAGGAUGUUAACUAUUUGGUUACAUCCAACUUGAUUUGUGUCUCUACAAGUGAAUUUGUAAUACAGUUGGGCUGCUUUUUAUACCUACGAGGGUAUGGUUUUUUAAAAUGUACUUUCUCUUACCUGUCUAGCUGUCGGAUAAGUUAAUAGAAGAUGAAACAGAAAAUCCCAACGAGAAGUCUUCCCAGCAAAAAAGCAUAGCUUUUAGCUCUAAUAAUUCUGUAGCAAAGCCAUUGCUUCAGAAAUCAGCUAAAGCUACUGCUGAAGAGACCUCUUCAGGA
Globicephala melas (long-finned pilot whale) is the source of this 1901-nucleotide RNA transcript. It is a transcript of the gene named arginine and serine rich protein 1, with no coding region annotated. The record is from RefSeq and is a predicted model, not a curated record. Lineage: Eukaryota; Metazoa; Chordata; Mammalia; Artiodactyla; Delphinidae.